GAGCAGCAGUGGGGAAUAUUGCACAAUGGGCGAAAGCUGAUGCAGCGACGCCGCGUGAGGGAUGACGGCCUUCGGGUUGUAAACCUCUUUCAGCAGGGAAGAAGCGAAAGUGACGGUACCUGCAGAAGAAGCGCCGGCUAACUACGUGCCAGCAGCCGCGGUAAUACGUAGGGCGCAAGCGUUGUCCGGAAUUAUUGGGCGUAAAGAGCUCGUAGGCGGCUUGUCACGUCGAUUGUGAAAGCCCGAGGCUUAACCUCGGGUCUGCAGUCGAUACGGGCUAGCUAGAGUGUGGUAGGGGAGAUCGGAAUUCCUGGUGUAGCGGUGAAAUGCGCAGAUAUCAGGAGGAACACCGGUGGCGAAGGCGGAUCUCUGGGCCAUUACUGACGCUGAGGAGCGAAAGCGUGGGGAGCGAACAGGAUUAGAUACCCUGGUAGUCCACGCCGUAAACGGUGGGAACUAGGUGUUGGCGACAUUCCACGUCGUCGGUGCCGCAGCUAACGCAUUAAGUUCCCCGCCUGGGGAGUACGGCCGCAAGGCUAAAACUCAAAGGAAUUGACGGGGGCCCGCACAAGCGGCGGAGCAUGUGGCUUAAUUCGACGCAACGCGAAGAACCUUACCAAGGCUUGACAUACACCGGAAACGUCUG
Molecule: ribosomal RNA, 646 nt
Filed under: Streptomyces sp.
Lineage: Bacteria; Bacillati; Actinomycetota; Actinomycetes; Kitasatosporales; Streptomycetaceae
Description: bacterial SSU rRNA
Rfam family: Bacterial small subunit ribosomal RNA
Source: RNAcentral